RNAcentral lists this ribosomal RNA (413 nucleotides) under uncultured prokaryote. RNAcentral's name for it is "bacterial SSU rRNA". It matches the Rfam family "Bacterial small subunit ribosomal RNA", at positions 505 to 918 of the family's 1533-position model. The record is from RNAcentral.
GUGCCAGCCGCCGCGGUAAUACGUAGGCAGCGAGCGUUGUUCGGAGUUACUGGGCGUAAAGCGUGCGUAGGCGGUUCCGCAAGUUCGGUGUGAAAUAUCCCGGCUCAACUGGGAGGGUGCGCCGAAAACUGCGGAGCUUGAGCGUGGGAGAGGGAAGCGGAAUUCCUGGUGUAGCGGUGAAAUGCGUAGAUAUCAGGAGGAACACCGGUGGUGUAGACGGCUUCCUGGACCACUGCUGACGCUGAGGCACGAAAGCGUGGGGAGCAAACAGGAUUAGAUACCCUGGUAGUCCACGCCCUAAACGAUGCACACUUGGUGUGGGCACUUCAGUGUGUCCGUGCCGGAGCUAACGCGUUAAGUGUGCCGCCUGGGGAGUACGGUCGCAAGGCUGAAACUUAAAUGAAUUGGCGGGG